GCGAAGAACCUUACCUGGUCUUGACAUCCACGGAAGUUUUCAGAGAUGAGAAUGUGCCUUCGGGAACCGUGAGACAGGUGCUGCAUGGCUGUCGUCAGCUCGUGUUGUGAAAUGUUGGGUUAAGUCCCGCAACGAGCGCAACCCUUAUCCUUUGUUGCCAGCGGUCCGGCCGGGAACUCAAAGGAGACUGCCAGUGAUAAACUGGAGGAAGGUGGGGAUGACGUCAAGUCAUCAUGGCCCUUACGACCAGGGCUACACACGUGCUACAAUGGCGCAUACAAAGAGAAGCGACCUCGCGAGAGCAAGCGGACCUCAUAAAGUGCGUCGUAGUCCGGAUUGGAGUCUGCAACUCGACUCCAUGAAGUCGGAAUCGCUAGUAAUCGUGGAUCAGAAUGCCACGGUGAAUACGUUCCCGGGCCUUGUACACACCGCCCGUCACACCAU
Molecule: ribosomal RNA, 444 nt
Filed under: Escherichia coli
Lineage: Bacteria; Pseudomonadati; Pseudomonadota; Gammaproteobacteria; Enterobacterales; Enterobacteriaceae
Description: bacterial SSU rRNA
Rfam family: Bacterial small subunit ribosomal RNA
Source: RNAcentral